ACGCUCGACACCUACUGGAGGCAGCAGUGGGGAAUAUUGCACAAUGGGGGGAACCCUGAUGCAGCGACGCCGCGUGAGUGAAGAAGUACUUCGGUAUGUAAAGCCCUAUCAGCAGGGAAGAAAAUGACGGUACCUGACUAAGAAGCCCCGGCUAACUACGUGCCAGCAGCCGCGGUAAUCUGAGCGGCUGGCAAGGC
Molecule: ribosomal RNA, 197 nt
Filed under: uncultured bacterium
Lineage: Bacteria
Description: partial 16S ribosomal RNA
Rfam family: Bacterial small subunit ribosomal RNA
Source: RNAcentral